Molecule: non-coding RNA, 293 nt
Organism: Pelobates cultripes (western spadefoot toad)
Lineage: Eukaryota; Metazoa; Chordata; Amphibia; Anura; Pelobatidae
Source: the annotation of a GenBank genome assembly
CAUUAAUUAAGCAUGUAUUUGUCUUCUUUGAACAUCUGUGACAUCUGUUCUUAAAACGUUAAUGGAAAUGUACUCUUUUUUUUUUAUUUUAUUUUUUUAUUAAAUGCAUUGUACCUUUGUAUAAUUGUACAAAAGGUAACGUCGCUAGCGCGUGUUUGUAGUGCAGGUAGGCAGCUUGAACAACCCAAACCAGUCUCUUUUUUCUGGUCAUGGAUGGUGUGGAAAAGGGACUGAUGGAAGCAGCGCUGUAAAAGUAUCCUUAAAACCCAGUCAGGAAAAUUAGACAUGCAAAC